This 406-nucleotide ribosomal RNA is filed under the name uncultured bacterium. RNAcentral's name for it is "partial 16S ribosomal RNA". It matches the Rfam family "Bacterial small subunit ribosomal RNA", at positions 30 to 526 of the family's 1533-position model. The record is from RNAcentral.
AUUGAACGCUGGCGGCAGGCUUAACACAUGCAAGUCGAACGAGUGGCGGACGGGUGAGUAAUGCUUGGGAAACUGGCUUAUGGAGGGGGAUAACUACUGGAAACUGUAGCUAAUACCGCAUACCAUCGGAUGAGCCCAAAUGGGAUUAGCUAGUUGGUGGGGUAAAGGCUCACCAAGCCGACGAUCCCUAGCUGGUCUGAGAUGAUGACCAGCCACACUGUGACUGAGACACGGUCCAGAAUCCUACGGGAGGCAGCAGUGGGGAAUAUUGCGCAAUGGGGGCAAGCCUGACACAGCCAUGCCGCGUGUAUGAAGAAGGCCUUCGGGUUGUAAAGUUCUUUCAGUAGCGAGGCGUUAACCACAGAAGAAGCACCGGCUAACUCCGUGCCAGCCGCCGCGGUAAUUC